Molecule: ribosomal RNA, 501 nt
Filed under: uncultured bacterium
Lineage: Bacteria
Description: partial 16S ribosomal RNA
Rfam family: Bacterial small subunit ribosomal RNA
Source: RNAcentral
AUUGAACGCUGGCGGCAGGCUUAACACAUGCAAGUCGAGCGGGGUGAGGUGCUUCGGUACUGAUCCUAGCGGCGGACGGGUGAGUAAUGCUUAGGAAUCUGCCAUUUAGUGGGGGACAACAUUCCGAAAGGAAUGCUAAUACCGCAUACGUCCUACGGGAGAAAGCAGGGGAUCUUCGGACCUUGCGCUAAAUGAUGAGCCUAAGUCGGAUUAGCUAGUUGGUGGGGUAAAGGCCUACCAAGGCGACGAUCUGUAGCGGGUCUGAGAGGAUGAUCCGCCACACUGGGACUGAGACACGGCCCAGACUCCUACGGGAGGCAGCAGUGGGGAAUAUUGGACAAUGGGCGGAAGCCUGAUCCAGCCAUGCCGCGUGUGUGAAGAAGGCCUUUUGGUUGUAAAGCACUUUAAGCGAGGAGGAGGCUACCUGGAUUAAUACUCUAGGAUAGUGGACGUUACUCGCAGAAUAAGCACCGGCUAACUCUGUGCCAGCAGCCGCAGUAG